Molecule: non-coding RNA, 200 nt
Filed under: Rossellomorea vietnamensis
Lineage: Bacteria; Bacillati; Bacillota; Bacilli; Caryophanales; Bacillaceae
Source: RNAcentral
UCAUAAGUUACGAGAUCAGGUGAAGCGUAAGAUAUGAUUCUUCUUAGCUUCUUAAUAGGGAAGUUGGUGUAAAUCCAACGCGGUCCCGCCACUGUAAAUGGUAGUGAGCUGAAAAAUUUACCACUGUGCAAUAAAGUACGGGAAGGUGUCAGCAAACUAUGACCAUGAGCCAGGAGACCUGCCUGAUUUUAAGCGCACCA